GGAACUGGGGGCAAUCUGGCUGCAACAUCUGUCACCCCAUUGAUUGCCAGGGUUGACUCACCUGAUCUGGCUGGCUAGAAGGUGUUUCCUUCCUCCCUCAACACCCCACGUACAAUACUCCCAAAGCUGCGCACUUAGUGGAAGAGGACAACCACCCCCAAUGGAGGACCAGUCUCCAUCAAGGGUGUAGAACAGCUGUGCUUUCUUCCUAGAACCUCCAACUAAGCUCUCAAAAUUGAAGAGAAAAUUGAGAUACUCUGAGAUGACAAAAACAAAGAAUUUAGACUAGAAAUCCUGCUUU
RNAcentral lists this small nuclear RNA (301 nucleotides) under Chinchilla lanigera (long-tailed chinchilla). RNAcentral's name for it is "7SK RNA (ENSCLAG00000022195.1)". It matches the Rfam family "7SK RNA". Rfam says of the family: 7SK was discovered as an abundant small nuclear RNA in the mid-70s but a possible function has only recently been suggested. Two independent studies have found that 7SK RNA binds the CDK9/cyclin T complex (known as elongation factor P-TEFb). Lineage: Eukaryota; Metazoa; Chordata; Mammalia; Rodentia; Chinchillidae. The record is from Rfam by way of RNAcentral.